RNAcentral lists this ribosomal RNA (478 nucleotides) under uncultured bacterium. Its description in RNAcentral is "partial 16S ribosomal RNA". It matches the Rfam family "Bacterial small subunit ribosomal RNA", at positions 28 to 523 of the family's 1533-position model. The record is from RNAcentral.
GACGAACGCUGGCGGCGUGCUUAACACAUGCAAGUCGAACGGUAAGGCCCUUCGGGGUACACGAGUGGCGAACGGGUGAGUAACACGUGGGUGAUCUGCCCUGCACUUCGGGAUAAGCCUGGGAAACUGGGUCUAAUACCGGAUAGGACCACUGCCUGCAUGGGUGGUGGUGGAAAGCUUUUGCGGUGUGGGAUGGGCCCGCGGCCUAUCAGCUUGUUGGUGGGGUGACGGCCUACCAAGGCGACGACGGGUAGCCGGCCUGAGAGGGUGACCGGCCACACUGGGACUGAGAUACGGCCCAGACUCCUACGGGAGGCAGCAGUGGGGAAUAUUGCACAAUGGGCGCAAGCCUGAUGCAGCGACGCCGCGUGAGGGAUGACGGCCUUCGGGUUGUAAACCUCUUUCAGCACCGGCGAAGCGCAAGUGACGGUAGGUGCAGAAGAAGGACCGGCCAACUACGUGCCAGCCGCCGCAGUAA